This 324-nucleotide ribosomal RNA is filed under the name uncultured eukaryote. RNAcentral's name for it is "partial 18S ribosomal RNA". It matches the Rfam family "Eukaryotic small subunit ribosomal RNA", at positions 1470 to 1796 of the family's 1831-position model. The record is from RNAcentral.
CCCUUAGAUGUCCUGGGCUGCACGCGCGCUACACUGAUGUGUCCAGUAAGCACCUAACCUCUUCCGAAAGGAACGGGUAACCUUUGCAAAGCACAUCGUGAUGGGGGUAGAUUAUUGCAAUUAUUAGUCUUGAACGAGGAAUUCCUAGUAAGCACAAGUCAUCAGCUUGUGUUGAUUACGUCCCUGCCCUUUGUACACACCGCCCGUCGCUCUUACCGAUUGAAUGUUCCGGUGAGCUCUUCGGACUGCGCGGUCUGCAGUUUCUGCGUUCCGUGCGGAAAGUUGCGCAAACCUUAACAUUUAGAGGAAGGAGAAGUCGUAACA